Molecule: ribosomal RNA, 324 nt
Filed under: uncultured Eubacteriales bacterium
Lineage: Bacteria; Bacillati; Bacillota; Clostridia; Eubacteriales
Description: bacterial SSU rRNA
Rfam family: Bacterial small subunit ribosomal RNA
Source: RNAcentral
AGCUCGUGUCGUGAGAUGUUGGGUUAAGUCCCGCAACGAGCGCAACCCUUGUCUUUAGUUGCCAUCAUUAAGUUGGGCACUCUAAAGAGACUGCCGAUGACAAAUCGGAGGAAGGUGGGGAUGACGUCAAAUCAUCAUGCCCUUUAUGUCCUGGGCUACACACGUGCUACAAUGGUCGGUACAACGAGAAGCAAGCCAGCGAUGGCAAGCAAAUCUCUAAAAGCCGAUCCCAGUUCGGAUUGCAGGCUGCAACUCGCCUGCAUGAAGCCGGAAUCGCUAGUAAUCGCGGAUCGGCAUGCCGCGGUGAAUACGUUCCCGGGCCUU